GGGAAAACUGCGGCCUCGGUCGGCUGGGCCUGUUGGCCUGCGUCCGGCGGCGCGCGGCACCGGCCUGGCGCUGGGCUCACAAGUGCUCGCACUCCCUGCGGCCGGCGCGCUGACCGGAGCUUCUGGGUCUCGCACGCAGCAGCUGCAGACGCUGCCCGGCGCGGUGGGGCUGUGAGCAAAAUGGCCUGCCAGUGUGGUUGCCCAGACUGUGCUGGGCCCUCCUAGGAGGAUGGCCCUGCCCCAGCCUAACUUCUGUACCCCAGCAUAACCUCCAAAGUAACAGCCGUGCCCUGGGAGCCUGUUCAACACUGAACAUAUCCCACAAUAACACAGUUCCAGCGUCGCUGGUAAAAAGCAGAAAUGGCUUCGGGGAGAAGGCAACAAAUCAAGACUCUAACCAGCUUAGGCAAAAGGAAGAACUUAUAUAAAGUGUACGGGGACGAGUUGAACAACCUACUCUACAGAUAAGACUCCAGCUAGCCUAGGGACCAGCAAUAUUAGAUCCUCUGCUUGCUUCUUUUUUCUGUAGACCAACUUUUCCACGGGAACACAGCUGCCUAGCACACCCAAGGUUUUCACUUUAUGGCUUCAAGAAUGAGAGACCAACUUGCUUUCUAUAUUUUUUCCUAUCCAAGACCCAAAUUCCUGGGGAUGGGACUCACUGGCUCUGAUUAGCUGGAGGCAUCAAUAAAUCUAAUGCAGUGACCUCAUGUUACAGAAGAGAACUCUAAGAGGAUAAAUAACUUGGCCAAGAUCACAUGAUAAAUUUGGAGUUACUGUCUCUAACGCUUAAUUCUAUGAUGAAGUUCUAUGUCUGUGGUCACAAAUAACAUUAUAACCAGUUGCCUUGGAAAUGAAGACGAUAUAAUAAAUUACAACUAGAAGUGGCUUACCAUAUUGCAUAUGAAGUUCUUUGAGGAGAACCCUGCCAUAAUCAUCAAAUAAAGAAGAAAAACAAGUGGUUUAGCUCUCCUGGAACUCCUGAUGAUUCCUGUGGGACAGGACAGGAGUAGGCUUCCAUAAAGAUUUGAAGAUCAAUGGAGAGACAGAACAUGCACCUCCAAUUCCCUCCUCUCACCACAGAAAUCUUGAGUUUAAAGAAAUCUCUGUGAGUGGUAUUUUGCUGGCUUGGGAAAGGCAAUGGCACAGUCUGAAAUGAACAAUUCUUUUUACCAGUUGUGACUUCUCUCAAUCCUGUGGAUGUGGGGGGGGGGGUCUCCAUUUCUCCCCCAAGUUCUGGAGAAUUCAGAGUGAUAUUCUUGUCUUUGAAUAUUUUCUAGUUAUAUUUUUGUUGGGGAACUGAUGUUGGGGAAUCUUAUACUUCACAAUCUUGCUGAUGUCACUGUACUGUUCAUAUUUCUAUCAGCAUCCUAAUCACAACCACUUAUGCAAUAACUAAGGAGUUCCAAACUUUCUUUAGUCUUCUUGUCUGCCAAGCCCUCAAAAUCUAGAUUUAUCUAGCUUGUUUCUACAAAUUCUUCCAACCUUUUUCCAUCACCCAGUUCCAAAGCCACUUCCACAUUUUUGAGUAUUUGUUACCAGCAACACCCCACUUCUCCGUACCUAUUUUCUGUAUUAGCUUGUUUUCUGUUGCUUGUAACAGAAUAUUUGAAACUGCAUAAUUUAAAAGAAAAAUAAUUUAUUUCUUACAAUUAUGGAGGCCAAGAAGUCUCAAGUUGAAGGGCGAUAACUGGUGAGAGCCUUCUUGCUGGUGGAGCCUCUUUGAAGAGUCCCAAGGCAGUGCAAGACAUCACAUGAUGAGGGGGCCGAACAUGUUAGCUCAGGUUUCUAGUCCUUGUCUUAUGAAUCCACCAGUCCGGCUCCCAUGAUAACCCAUGAAUCCAUUAACCAUUUAAUCCAUUAAUUCAUGAAUGGAUUAAUCUGUUCAUUAUGGCUAAACCCUUAUGAUCCAAUCACCUCUUAAAGGCCUCACCUCUCAAAGUUGCCACAUUGGGGAGUAAGUUUCAAAAUGAAUUUUUUGAGGAGUCAUUUAACCAUAGCAGGGUUUCAGAUUUGCAAGAUAAAAAGUCUGGAGAUCUGUUUCACAACAUGUGAACAUACUUAACACUACUAAACUGUAUGCUUAAUGGUUAAGAUGAUAAAUUACAGGUUAUGUGUUUUUUACUACAAUUAAAAAAACUAUGCUUGUUAUAAAUAAGUAGCUCAUUCUCCCUUGUAAAAUUUACUACCUGUUUAAAUUGCUCAAACUGAACCAGUGACUGAACUGUGGUCUUCUCUAGGGUACUUAAAAUUACUGAAAUAAAAGAAUAAGUA
Chlorocebus sabaeus (green monkey) is the source of this 2274-nucleotide long non-coding RNA. RefSeq lists it as uncharacterized. NCBI's taxonomy places the organism in Eukaryota, Metazoa, Chordata, Mammalia, Primates, Cercopithecidae. The record is from RefSeq and is a predicted model, not a curated record.